AUUGAACGCUGGCGGCAGGCCUAACACAUGCAAGUCGAGCGGAGCGGCGGACGGGUGAGGAAGGCCUAGGAAUCUGCCUGGUAGUGGGGGAUAACGUCCGGAAACGGGCGCUAAUACCGCAUAAUAUCAGAUGAGCCUAGGGCGGAUUAGCGAGUUGGUGGGGUAAAGGCAUACCAAGGCGACGAUCCGUAGCUGGGCGGAGCGGAUGAUAAGUCACACUGGAACUGAGACACGGUCCAGACUCCUACGGGAGGCAGCAGUGGGGAAUUUUGGACAAUGGGCGAAAGCCUGAUCCAGCCAUGCCGCGUGUGUGAAGAAGGUCUUCGGAUUGUAAAGCACUUUAAGUUGGGAGGCGUUACCAACAGAAUAAGCACCGGCUAACUUCGUGCCAGCAGCCGCGGUAAUAC
Molecule: ribosomal RNA, 407 nt
Filed under: uncultured bacterium
Lineage: Bacteria
Description: partial 16S ribosomal RNA
Rfam family: Bacterial small subunit ribosomal RNA
Source: RNAcentral